This 651-nucleotide ribosomal RNA is filed under the name Osmia lignaria (orchard mason bee). Its description in RNAcentral is "partial 16S ribosomal RNA". The record is from RNAcentral. Lineage: Eukaryota; Metazoa; Arthropoda; Insecta; Hymenoptera; Megachilidae.
UUAAAUAUAUAUUUAUAUAUAUACUAUUCAUAAAAUAAUUUAUACAAAUUAAAUUACUAAUUUAAUCAUUAUAUUAUAACUAAUAUUAUUAAAAUUAUUUUUUUUUUAAAAUCAAUAUAUAUAAUUAAUUUUACUAUAAUUAAAAAUUUAUUAAUAAAUUAUUAAAUACUCAUUAAAUUCUUUUAAAUUUUAAAAUUAAUCUUUUUAAUUUUAAUUUAAAUUAUUAUAUAAAUUUAAUUUAUAGAUUAUCCCAUAAAUUAUUUAUAUUUUCUAAAAUAAACUUUUUUAUUUAAAUUUACUUUAAAAAAUAUAUAAAUUAAAUUUAAUUCAAAAAUAACUAGAUAUCAUUAAAAUUGAAUAACAUCUAAUCUCUAAAUAUAUAUUUAUAAUUUUUAUUCAACAAAAAAAAUUUUAUAUAUUUAACUCUUUUAAUUUCGAGAUAUUUAAUUUAUUAAAAAUUUUUAAAUUAACCCUGAUACAAAAGGUACAAAAUUUUACUUUAAUUUAUAAAAUUUUAAAAUUUCAUUUACAUUACUUAUAUAUAUAAAUAUAUUUAUUAUUUCUUAAAAUAUUACUUUAACAUAAAAUUUUUAUAAAAACUUUUUAUAAUAUACUAAUUAAAACAAUAAAAAAAUUUUAUUUAAUUAAUUA